RNAcentral lists this ribosomal RNA (455 nucleotides) under uncultured bacterium. Its description in RNAcentral is "bacterial SSU rRNA". It matches the Rfam family "Bacterial small subunit ribosomal RNA", at positions 8 to 507 of the family's 1533-position model. The record is from RNAcentral.
AGAGUUUGAUCAUGGCUACAGAACGACGCUGGCGGCAGGCUUAACACAUGCAAGUCGAACGCGUGUAGCAAUACACGAGUGGCGCACGGGUGAGUAACGCGUGGAUAUCUGCCUUUUGGUUCGGAAUAACUCCGGGAAACUGGAGCUAAUACCGGAUGGUUCCUACGGGAUAAAGAUUUAUCGCCAAAAGAUGAGUCCGCGUACGAUUAGCUAGUUGGUGAGGUAAUGGCUCACCAAGGCGACGAUCGUUAGCUGGUCUGAGAGGACGAUCAGCCACACUGGGACUGAGACACGGCCCAGACUCCUACGGGAGGCAGCAGUGGGGAAUAUUGGACAAUGGGGGCAACCCUGAUCCAGCCAUGCCGCGUGAGUGAUGAAGGCCUUCGGGUUGUAAAGCUCUUUUGGCGGGGACGAUGAUGACGGUACCCGCAGAAUAAGCCCCGGCUAACUUCGUG